Molecule: ribosomal RNA, 229 nt
Filed under: uncultured bacterium
Lineage: Bacteria
Description: partial 16S ribosomal RNA
Rfam family: Bacterial small subunit ribosomal RNA
Source: RNAcentral
UCCGUAGGUGGAUCAAUCAGUCAGAGGUGAAAUCCUGCAGCUUAACUGUAGAACUGCCUUUGAUACUGUUGAUCUUGAGUCAUUAUGAAGUGGUUAGAAUGUGUAGUGUAGCGGUGAAAUGCAUAGAUAUUACACAGAAUACCGAUUGCGAAGGCAGAUCACUAAUAAUGUACUGACACUGAGGGACGAAAGCGUGGGGAGCGAACCGGAUUAGAUACCCGAGUAGUCC